GCUGAGCGGGCCACGGGACUGGAAGGGCUUGAAGCUCUGGGCCUAACGGGAGCCAGGGCAGGGCAUGGCGCCCGCCAGGACUGGACGAGCAUGCCCUAGUGGGGAGCUAACAUCCUGCCCGCAUGCCCAGGAGGAGGUGUUUGGGGAGAGACUGAGACAAUCCAUCACGUGGCCUAAGGACCCUGCAACAGGAAGGGGAUGCAGGCCAGAGUGACUCCACAGUCUGAACCCUCCUAUGUGACCAGAACCCUGACACCAGCACAGCCCAGGGCAGGGAGGAAGUGCCUUCGACUCUGGUGACCUCGAAGGGCAGCAGGAUGGGGCACUGGUCAGCAGGUCUGUCCACCCUGGACAGGUCAUGGUCCUCUUCCAUCAGGAGCCCACAGCGUGCUGUAGGCUUCUGAAAAAUGUCAACCCGGUGGCUAGGGCUGCCCAGGCCUGAAAGUGUGGACGGAUCCCUGGAGGGAUCAGGAUUAGACAACAAAGCUGAGAGUGGCCCCGACUGACAGGUACACCUUCUGAAUGAACCUUCCUUCAUGAGAGACCCCCAACCUCCCAGCCCAAAUGUGAGCCCCAAGGCAGAUGCCACCAGCCAGCCGGAUCCCUGGGGACCAGUACUCACUGCCCUGAACAAGCCACGGGAACUGGACAGGCGGGAAAUGUCCGAACACACCCCUGAAGGGCGUGGGCCGGAUCAGCAAGGCAUGAGGUAUUUUGGCCUGGGGACACGGAUGGUUAAAGUACUUCACUGACCACCCUGGCCUGGAAAUGAAACAGGAAGGAAGCCAGAGCCCCUACGCCAGGCCCUCCCUCACUGAGGUCACCAGGGAGCAAACCCUUCUGUGAUGCAAGUUUUUUCUUUCAGAGCCUUCUAGAUUCACAGUGAGUAAAACUGAGCAGACUGUGGUGGACAGAAGUUAGGUGAGCAGGGUCUGAACACAGGACGGAGCUGGCGCUGAAGACCUGUUCACCUCCAUCUAGGAGUCUGGCCCAGGGACGUACAGCACAGAGCAACUCCUUCUUCUUGGGAAGAAGAAAAGCUUGCUCUCCAGGACCUGGCCAUGUUGUAACUGCCCACGAGGGGGAGCCACCAAAUCCCACUGAAGAUGUUGAAAUCGAGGCUCCUGGGGGGACCUAACUUGCCCAGAGACACGUGGCUGGUACACUAGGCUGCUGGACGGAAGCCAGCUCCUUCUUGGUCGGUGGCCGUGUAAGGCUCUGCAUGCACCGUGAAGGACAUGUUAUAAAGAGAGGGGACAGAUCAGAGCAGAGUGAGCAAGAAGAAGGAGACUAGAGAGAGAAAAUGCACCCGCACCCCUGCACACACACCCUGCCCUGGUCUACAGCCCCGCAUGGAUCUGCCAGCCCUCUGGGAUUUGGUUAACCCCUCCCGUUCUGGACAUUCAGACUCAGGGAUUCUCUGCGGGGCUCAGUCAUCUUGGACUUUUAGUGAAUGCCUCUGGACGAUUCUAACCAUAAAGUGGGUUUAAAAAACACCACAUGGGCUAGCCACGAGUGAGCGCAGUCAUGCAGUGCUCUGCGAUGCUGAGCCAUGAGGGCUGGUUCCACGUUCCCGUCCUGAGGUCUCCCUGUUCAUGCUGGGCGUGUGUGCAUACAUGUGUGUGCACGCCGUAAUCCUGGCUGGCGGGACUGAGGACAGAAUUGUUACAGGUAGACAUUAUGAGCAGGGAGUCCCAACCAAGGGGACAUCUGACACAUCCAUCACUGUCACCAGGGAUGGCAGCUAGACCCUGGGUGCCAAGGGAGGGGAGGUGACCUGCCUGUGUUCUUCCCUCCCGCCGUCCCACGCACGCACACAGGAGCUCACCUGGAUGCUUGGCCAACUUCCUAUUUCCCCCCAGGGACAGUAACUGACACAGGCAGAGUCAUCCCCAUGCAGAUGCUCAUGGCCUCAGCGUCCACACUGGGCAUGUGUGAUCCAGUCCUCAGAGUCCCCACCUGAUGGAAGUACACAGGAGCAUCAGAAAGCCCACGAGUUCCACAGAGGAGUCCGCUACAAUGACAGGCCCGUCCUCCCAAAUCUUCGUGACGAGCCCCAGGGUGAAAGGACCGUCUAACCCCAGUUCCACACGCUGUCCUCUAACAGC
Long non-coding RNA from Tupaia belangeri chinensis (Chinese tree shrew), 2108 nucleotides. RefSeq lists it as uncharacterized. Lineage: Eukaryota; Metazoa; Chordata; Mammalia; Scandentia; Tupaiidae. The record is from RefSeq and is a predicted model, not a curated record. The transcript is spliced from 3 exons.